This 274-nucleotide ribosomal RNA is filed under the name uncultured bacterium. RNAcentral's name for it is "partial 16S ribosomal RNA". It matches the Rfam family "Bacterial small subunit ribosomal RNA", at positions 523 to 796 of the family's 1533-position model. The record is from RNAcentral.
AUACGGAUGGUGCGAGCGUUGUUCGGAAUUACUGGGCGUAAAGGGCGCGUAGGCGGCGAUGUAAGUCAAAUGUGAAAGUCCUCGGCUUAACCGGGGAAGUGCAUCUGAAACUGCAUUGCUUGAGUAUGGGAGAGGAAAGUGGAAUUCCCGGUGUAGAGGUGAAAUUCGUAGAGAUCGGGAGGAAUACCGGUGGCGAAGGCGACGUUCUGGACCAAUACUGACGCUGAGGCGCGAAAGCGUGGGGAGCAAACAGGAUUAGAUACCCUAGUAGUCC